Molecule: ribosomal RNA, 420 nt
Filed under: uncultured bacterium
Lineage: Bacteria
Description: bacterial SSU rRNA
Rfam family: Bacterial small subunit ribosomal RNA
Source: RNAcentral
UGGGGAAUAUUGCACAAUGGGGGAAACCCUGAUGCAGCGACGCCGCGUGAAGGAAGAAGUAUUUCGGUAUGUAAACUUCUAUCAGCAGGGAAGAUAAUGACGGUACCUGACUAAGAAGCCCCGGCUAACUACGUGCCAGCAGCCGCGGUAAUACGUAGGGGGCAAGCGUUAUCCGGAUUUACUGGGUGUAAAGGGAGCGUAGGCGGCAAGAUAAGUCAGAAGUGAAAGCCCGAGGCUCAACCUCGGGACUGCUUUUGAAACUGUCUGGCUAGAUUUCAGGAGAGGAAAGCGGAAUUCCUAGUGUAGCGGUGAAAUGCGUAGAUAUUAGGAGGAACACCAGUGGCGAAGGCGGCUUUCUGGACUGAUAAUGACGCUGAGGCUCGAAAGCGUGGGGAGCAAACAGGAUUAGAUACCCUGGUA